Molecule: non-coding RNA, 43 nt
Filed under: Escherichia coli
Lineage: Bacteria; Pseudomonadati; Pseudomonadota; Gammaproteobacteria; Enterobacterales; Enterobacteriaceae
Also listed under: 4 other names
Description: ES036 (CssrF) sRNA
Rfam family: ES036 (CssrF) sRNA
About the family: Differentially expressed under several chemical stress conditions.
Source: RNAcentral
AAAAUCGUGCAAAUUCAAUAUAUUGCAAGAAGAUCGUAGGCCU